GACGAACGCUGGCGGCGUGCUUAACACAUGCAAGUCGAACGGAAAGGCCCCUUUGGGGGUACUCGAGUGGCGAACGGGUGAGUAACACGUGAGUAACCUGCCCUUGACUUCGGGAUAACUUCAGGAAACUGGGGCUAAUACCGGAUAGGAAUCCUUGCUGCAUGGUGGGGGUUGGAAAGCUUCGGCGGUUUUGGAUGGACUCGCGGCUUAUCAGCUUGUUGGUGGGGUAGUGGCUUACCAAGGCUUUGACGGGUAGCCGGCCUGAGAGGGCGACCGGCCACAUUGGGACUGAGAUACGGCCCAGACUCCUACGGGAGGCAGCAGUGGGGAAUAUUGCACAAUGGGCGGAAGCCUGAUGCAGCAACGCCGCGUGCGGGAUGACGGUCUUCGGGUUGUAAACCGCUUUCAGCAGGGGCGAAGCUUGUGGUGACGGUACCUGCAGAAGAAGCACCGGCUAACUACGUG
RNAcentral lists this ribosomal RNA (465 nucleotides) under uncultured bacterium. Its description in RNAcentral is "partial 16S ribosomal RNA". It matches the Rfam family "Bacterial small subunit ribosomal RNA", at positions 28 to 507 of the family's 1533-position model. The record is from RNAcentral.